CUGCUUCUUCAUUAGUGCCUAAGCUGAGUGU
Molecule: non-coding RNA, 31 nt
Filed under: Homo sapiens (human)
Lineage: Eukaryota; Metazoa; Chordata; Mammalia; Primates; Hominidae
Source: RNAcentral